This 543-nucleotide ribosomal RNA is filed under the name uncultured bacterium. RNAcentral describes it as "bacterial SSU rRNA". It matches the Rfam family "Bacterial small subunit ribosomal RNA", at positions 777 to 1320 of the family's 1533-position model. The record is from RNAcentral.
AAUAGAUACCCAGGUAGUCCACGCCGUAAACGUUGGGCGCUAGGUGUGGGGUCCGUUCCACGGGUUCCGUGCCGCAGCUAACGCAUUAAGCGCCCCGCCUGGGGAGUACGGCCGCAAGGCUAAAACUCAAAGGAAUUGACGGGGGGCCCGCACAAGCGGCGGAGCAUGCGGAUUAAUUCGAUGCAACGCGAAGAACCUUACCAAGGCUUGACAUGGGCGGUAAUCCGGUAGAGAUGUCGGGUCCGUAAGGGCCGUUCACAGGUGGUGCAUGGUUGUCGUCAGCUCGUGUCGUGAGAUGUUGGGUUAAGUCCCGCAACGAGCGCAACCCUUGUUCCAUGUUGCCAGCACUUCGGGUGGGGACUCAUGGGAGACUGCCGGGGUCAACUCGGAGGAAAGUGGGGAUGACGUCAAAUCAUCAUGCCCCUUAUGUCUUGGGCUUCACGCAUGCUACAAUGGCCGGUACAAAGGGCUGCAAUACCGUAAGGUGGAGCGAAUCCCAAAAAGCCGGUCUCAGUUCGGAUUGAGGUCUGCAACUCGACCUCA